Molecule: ribosomal RNA, 253 nt
Filed under: uncultured bacterium
Lineage: Bacteria
Description: partial 16S ribosomal RNA
Rfam family: Bacterial small subunit ribosomal RNA
Source: RNAcentral
UACAGAGGUCUCAAGCGUUGUUCGGAUUCACUGGGCGUAAAGGGUGCGUAGGCGGUCGGGUAAGUCUGAUGUGAAAUCUCACAGCUUAACUGUGAAACUGCAUUGGAUACUAUUCGGCUUGAGAGUUGGAGGGGGGACUGGAAUUCUUGGUGUAGCAGUGAAAUGCGUAGAUAUCAAGAGGAACACCAGUGGCGAAGGCGAGUCCCUGGACAACUUCUGACGCUGAGGCACGAAAGCUAGGGGAGCAAACAGG